GCGAAUGCGAGCGCGACGGCUCCGUGCGGGUUCAGGGAGGCGACGUGCCCCGGUCGCGGGCGCCUAAGGGCAAACGUGGUCGAGGCUAGUCUCCGUUCCGCUCUCCCGCGCUGGAGCUCCCAGCGUCGCUGGCGUCCACCGCCGUCGGCUUCGAGGAAGGUGACCGUGGCUCGCCCUCGGGCGUCUACGGAGCUUACAGCCGAUGUCGGCGCGAGUGGAGGCGAGCGUGGUGAACGCGACGCUUCGCGUGGCAGUGCGGGCCUCUCCCCUCGUGGGAGCGGGCCGGGUCUCUUCUGGGCGGGCGGGCCAGCCGGCGAGGGACUGCUCGACAGUGCCACGUUGUGCUCGGUCUGGUCGUCCGGGAGGUGGACGACGACUCGCGCUGCAGUCGCUGGGACCACUGGCGCUCGCAUCCGA
This 417-nucleotide ribosomal RNA is filed under the name Biemna fistulosa. RNAcentral describes it as "partial 28S large subunit ribosomal RNA". The record is from RNAcentral. Lineage: Eukaryota; Metazoa; Porifera; Demospongiae; Biemnida; Biemnidae.